Long non-coding RNA from Prinia subflava (tawny-flanked prinia), 1205 nucleotides. RefSeq lists it as uncharacterized. The transcript has 3 exons. Lineage: Eukaryota; Metazoa; Chordata; Aves; Passeriformes; Cisticolidae. The record is from RefSeq and is a predicted model, not a curated record.
GCGGCAGGCAAAACCGGGGAUUAAAAUAGAAAUGCGUUCGAGAGCGGCUGUGAGACUGCCCCGCUUUCGACUGGAGGACAGCUCCACGCGGAGUGGAAUCUUAUAGGGAUGCCCUGAGAACUAAAAGCCCUUGCAAAUGACUGCACAAAGUAAUGGACUCCUUGUAAACAUCUCCUGGGAGCCAGGCAGCAAAGCGGAGCGCGGCCACGAGAGCGAGGUGCGGGCACUCGGACUGGCCGAGCCCGCCGCCAGGAACAGCAUUUCCCCAUCUCUCGUGGCUGCUGAAAGACUCCAGCCGUAAAGGCAACGUGAGCCAGGUAAUCGUCUGGCUGAAAUGAUUUACAGGCCAACGUUGCACAAUAAAUCCGAGUAAUAUGUAGCAAAAGGCAUCCAUAAACCACAAGAAAUACCAGGCUUAAUCACUACAAUUGCUGGAGGAGGUGCCUGCAGCGCAAAGAAGACAAGUCCAGACAAAAUAAGGCACACACGCUAUGCAAAACUAAUGUCUGCUACAAAUGCUAUGUGGUACAACCACCACCCAAGAUGCUACUGAUCUGCAGAGUGGUAUUUAGUAAAAUAAUGAAGAAAAAAAUUAAAAACAACAACUACAAAGAAGUCAAGGACUGAUACAAACUGAGGUUGGGGGUGCCUACUUCGGACAGAUAGCAGGAGGAAAGCACCACGUCUGAGAACACGUUCCAGUGCUUCAAAGGAGACAGUUUGGCAAAAAUAAAGAUAAAAUUAUCAAUGAAAGUUGAGACUAAAACGAAAAAACAAUUCUGUAACUUGUAUGAGAUGGACACCAGUAUGUGCCUUCACAGGAUCCUCUCUGGCAGAAAGAACAAAGCUCUCUUGCAAUUUAGCACAGUGCAGCACCAACGAGUCCGUCACAGUUUUUCAACUGGACACAUUCUCCAGUAUACCCUGCCUGGGGCUGCUCAAGAGAAAAUGAACAGAUUUGCAGGGUUAAUAUUGUAGUUAGGCUGGAACCUCAUUCAGCACAGCUGUGAUAGCACUGGCUGCACAAAACAGUAGAAGAAUGUGUAGUAUAAACAUCACUGCCAGGAUGGGAGAUAGGUUGGAGGACUGUGGGAAUUUUAAAAGGCAUAAGAAGACACAAAAUGUAAGAAGAGGGGACUAGGUUCCAAACCCAAGUCAUAACCAAGCUGCCGUUUACAGUUUACCUACUAAAACUCCCAAGAAAU